UACGGGGGGGGCAAGCGUUGUUCGGAAUUACUGGGCGUAAAGGGCUCGUAGGCGGCCAACUAAGUCAGACGUGAAAUCCCCAGGCUCAACCUGGGAACUGCGUCUGAUACUGGAUGGCUUGAAUCCGGGAGAGGGAUGCAGAAUUCCAGGUGUAGCGGUGAAAUGCGUAGAUAUCGGGAAGAACAUCAAUGGCGAAGGCGGCUGGCUGGCCCAAUACUGACACUCAGGUGCGACAGCGUGGGGAGCAAACAGG
Molecule: ribosomal RNA, 253 nt
Filed under: uncultured bacterium
Lineage: Bacteria
Description: partial 16S ribosomal RNA
Rfam family: Bacterial small subunit ribosomal RNA
Source: RNAcentral